This 29-nucleotide non-coding RNA is filed under the name Mus musculus (house mouse). The record is from RNAcentral. Lineage: Eukaryota; Metazoa; Chordata; Mammalia; Rodentia; Muridae.
UUCACUUGAAAAGAGCCGUGAUGAAUGCA